UACCCCGUGGUGUAAUCGGUAACACUAGGGAUUUUGAUUCCCUCAUUCCAGGUUCAAGUCCUGGCGGGGUAGC
RNAcentral lists this transfer RNA (73 nucleotides) under Aeoliella mucimassa. RNAcentral describes it as "Planctomycetes bacterium Pan181 tRNA-Gln". It matches the Rfam family "tRNA". From Rfam's summary of the family: Transfer RNA (tRNA) molecules are approximately 80 nucleotides in length. Their secondary structure includes four short double-helical elements and three loops (D, anti-codon, and T loops). Lineage: Bacteria; Pseudomonadati; Planctomycetota; Planctomycetia; Pirellulales; Lacipirellulaceae. The record is from RNAcentral.